RNAcentral lists this long non-coding RNA (1226 nucleotides) under Monodelphis domestica (gray short-tailed opossum). RNAcentral describes it as "lncRNA (ENSMODG00000050738.1)". Lineage: Eukaryota; Metazoa; Chordata; Mammalia; Didelphimorphia; Didelphidae. The record is from RNAcentral.
AGAAAAAGAAUACUUAGCCAGUUCAAAAAGAAUACUUAGCCAGUUCAAACUUCUUUUUAUCUUCUUCUUCUGGUCAGCCGUAUUUUUGUGUCACUCAUCGACUUUACUGACCAUUUUGGAGUUGGGGCUUUCCUUAGAUGAGAUAGAUGUAUCCAACUUUCAAUUCCUUUUAGUUUUGCUGCAGAUGGAUUUACCAGCAAUACCUGAUGAGGUCCGUCCCAUCUGACUUGUAGAGCAUCCUUUCGUAGGUGCCUCUUUCUGUAUACCCAAUCUCCGGGCUUCACUUUAGAUGUUGAGGGUGUUUCUGAGGAAGAAUUCCUGGAAACUGACUGAGAUAUAAGGUGGUUAAGGCCUUGGAGAGUUUUUGCUAGUCCCUGGCAGUAUGAUAAGAGGGAAACCUUGGUGCUCAUGGAGUCAGUAUAGGGUGGAAAAAGAGACAUUGGCCGACCUGUGAUUAUCUCGAAUGGUGAGAGUGAGAGCUUGCCAAAAGGUGUGGCUCUCAGGUGAUUCUAGGGGCUCAGGUAUGCUGUCUAAAGAGGUUGCUGGGUUGCUAGAGCCUUUCAGGAGUUCUUUAAGGCUUUCUACCUCCUUCUGUAAAUCAGCUAUUUGCUUUUUAGUGGCUUCCCUGCCUUGUUCACCUUGAUUCUCCUCCUCCUCCCUUACCUUUCUCUUGUUCUUACCCGUCUCUUGUUCUACGGAUCGUUCUGACCUGUGUUUUCUCUGGGUGUACUCCUCGAGCCAUUUGUUGAAGACUUCUCUUUCAUCUCCUUCAAUUUCUCGACCUGCUUCACUUAAAACAGACUGCAGAAACAACAUCCUUUCCUCAUUAAGUGAACCCCACCUUGGCCAGCUUACCUUCGGAUUGGCCUUUGUCAUCGCUUGCCAUUUCUCUAAGUACUUGCUUGCAUCAGGUCCAUACUUCCAAACCAUGUAACUUGCGGCCGUAUUUCUAGGUGGUUCUUUGGGCUGCUGACCGCCCCCACCAAAUUUUGGGACAACAGACAAGCUGUUACCCAUGUCCAAUGACUAUGGACAAAUUGACUAAGGAUCCCUUAAUUAAAAGAGCGAGUUAUUCCCAAACCAGAGAUGCGAGUCCUUCCUCCGAGAGAGCCGCUUACCUGGCCCUUGCUAACCGGACUCCUGACCCAACCCCAAACAGGUUGUGUGUGGUACCUCAAGUCUGGGGUCCUCGUUAGCUGGAGGGCUCAGGCCGCGGGGACUUCGGA